GAUGAACGCUGGCGGCGUGCCUAACACAUGCCAGUCGAACGGAGACCAGCCUUUCAGGCUUCCGGGUCGAUGGGGGGAAGCGUGAGUGUCGCACGGGUGAGUAACACGUGGGCAACCUGGAUCACUGAGGGGGAUAACAGAGAGAAACUUCUGCUAUUAUCGACCAAGUAGACCCUUCGGCAUGGCAGAGUUUGAUAAGAGAAAUGCAAUGAGUGGGACCGGCGUCUGUUUAGCGAGCAGGCAGGGUAAGACCCUACCAAAGCGAGAAUCGGAAGCCGAUCUGAGAGAAUGAACGGCCACAUUGGGAGUGGGACACGGCCCGAACUCCUACGGGAGGGGGCAGUGGGGGAUAGUGCAAAAUGGGGGGAGCCCUGAUGCAGCGACGCCGGGUGAGUGAAGAAGUAUUUGGGUAUGUAAAGCUCUAUCAGCAAGGAAGAUAAUGACGGUACCUGAAUAAGAAGCCCCGGCUAACUACGUG
RNAcentral lists this ribosomal RNA (478 nucleotides) under uncultured bacterium. Its description in RNAcentral is "partial 16S ribosomal RNA". It matches the Rfam family "Bacterial small subunit ribosomal RNA", at positions 28 to 507 of the family's 1533-position model. The record is from RNAcentral.